Molecule: ribosomal RNA, 510 nt
Filed under: uncultured bacterium
Lineage: Bacteria
Description: partial 16S ribosomal RNA
Rfam family: Bacterial small subunit ribosomal RNA
Source: RNAcentral
GACGAACGCUGGCGGCGUGCUUAACACAUGCAAGUCGAACGAAGAGGGAUGGAGGUUUGAUUCUCUCAAUCUUAGUGGCGAAGGUGUGUGUCACGCGUAGUCAACCUGUCCGUCAGGGGGGGACAAUAGUGGGAAACGACUUCAAAUAGCGUAUCAGCUUUAAUCUCGGCAUCGAGGAUAGAAAGAAGGUGGUCUAUACAUGUAAGCUAUCACUGCAGGGGGGGAUUUCGUUGGAUUAGUUAGGUGGGGGGGAAACGGUCCACCAAGGCGAGGAUCAGUAGCCGGCCUGAGAGGAUGAACGGCCACAUUGGGACUGAGACACGGCCCAGACUCCUACGGGAGGCAGCAGUAGGGAAUCUUCCGCAAUGGACGAAAGUCUGACGGAGCAACGCCGCGUGAGUGAGGACGGCCUUCGGGUUGGAAAGCUCUGUUAGUCGGGACGAAAGGCCUUCUUGCUAAUAGUGAGAAGGAUUGACGGUACCGGAACAGAAAGCCACGGCUAACUACGUG